GUGCUACCACAUACACUAAAAUUGCAACAACACAGAGAAGAUUAACAUGGCCCCUGCACAUCCAAGCUUCUUUGAAGGAUGUAGUUGGAAUGUUU
This 95-nucleotide small nuclear RNA is filed under the name Peromyscus maniculatus bairdii (prairie deer mouse). Lineage: Eukaryota; Metazoa; Chordata; Mammalia; Rodentia; Cricetidae. The record is from RNAcentral.